Molecule: non-coding RNA, 32 nt
Filed under: Rattus norvegicus (Norway rat)
Lineage: Eukaryota; Metazoa; Chordata; Mammalia; Rodentia; Muridae
Source: RNAcentral
UGAGGCAGCUAAGAGAAAUCAUAUGAUGUUUU